GAUGAACGCUGGCGGCGUGCUUAAUACAUGCAAGUCGAACGGAAGGACCCUAAUCUUGUGUCUUGCUCGUUAGCGGCACGGGGGAGAGUCACGCGUGUAAAACCUACCUAUCUUACGGAGAACACUUGGAGAAACCGUAGCAUACAGGGGAGAAGCUCUUGAUCCGUGUGGGUGGAAGGAGAAAGACGGUCUUGGUGUCUCGUCUAGAGGGUUCCGCGCUGCAUUAGCUAGUUGGUGAGGUCAAGGCUUACCAAGGCAACGAUGCAUAGCCGAACUGAGGGGGUGAUCGCCGGCACGGGAACUGAGACACGGUCCAGACGCCUACGGGAGGCAGCAGUAGGGAAUGUGCCGCAGUGGGCGAAAGCCUGACGGAGCAACGCCGCGUGAGUGAUGAAGGUCUUCGGAUCGUAAAACUCUGUUAUUAGGGAAGAACAUAUGUGUACGGAGCUGAGGACAGCGUGACGGUACCUAAUCAGAAAGCAACGGCUAACUACGUG
RNAcentral lists this ribosomal RNA (497 nucleotides) under uncultured bacterium. Its description in RNAcentral is "partial 16S ribosomal RNA". It matches the Rfam family "Bacterial small subunit ribosomal RNA", at positions 28 to 507 of the family's 1533-position model. The record is from RNAcentral.